Molecule: transfer RNA, 67 nt
Filed under: Euleia heraclei
Lineage: Eukaryota; Metazoa; Arthropoda; Insecta; Diptera; Tephritidae
Description: tRNA-Phe
Source: RNAcentral
AUUCAAAUAGCUUAAAUCAUAGAGUAUAACAUUGAAGAUGUUAGGGUAAUUAUAUAAUUUUUGAAUG